RNA transcript from Myotis myotis, 3091 nucleotides. It is a transcript of the gene named t-complex 11 like 1, with no coding region annotated. NCBI's taxonomy places the organism in Eukaryota, Metazoa, Chordata, Mammalia, Chiroptera, Vespertilionidae. The record is from RefSeq and is a predicted model, not a curated record. The transcript has 11 exons.
AGUUGUUUUUUGUUUGUUUGUUUUUAAAGAAAACUAGCAAUUUUACAAUCUGGCCCCGACCCGUCUUUUUACCUUCCUCACCUGCUCUUAAGCUACUUAUUUAUAUGCCUCCACUUGUGCUCUUCCUCUCCCCCUCCAGACAUUUUUUUUUUUAAUUGAAUGAAAUCCUACUCUUUUCUAAAAGACCAGCUCAAAUGUCCCCUUUUCUGGGAAUACCAACCUCCUUGCAGGCAGAAUUAGUUUCUCCCGCUGCUCUAUUUCCUUAGUGAUUUCAUAAUGCCAUGAAGGCUUAAGUUUCACCGUGUUUCCUUGUCAGAAUGACUCUCCCUAGACCAUGCCUUUUCAUCUUCCUAUUACUACUUAAAGAAGCGUAUUUUGAAUUGGAUUUAAGGCAACGGUGAGUGCCAGAUGUCUAGUAACCAGUCCUGCAGGAGUUCAGAGAAAGGUGCAAAUACUGGUGAGGUUGGGGAAGGUCCUGGGAGGAGCGUGGACCCGAGCCUAAUUUUACCAGGACGGGUUAGUUUAUGUAGGUAAGUUUCCUGCCUUUCCUCCGCAGAGCAUAGAAUGAAUUACUUCAUCCUUCUUGAGCUCAUUCCCAGCAUGUGAAAGGGAUAAAAUUAGAAGUGUUUUUGUUUGUCCUUUCUCUUAGGAUUUGCUGGUAAUGUUAUCUGUUGGCUCUUGGAGCAUUUCCAGAGCCAAAUAGGAUUUAGAACAGAGAGGAGAUGGGUGUCUGGAGUGAGAUGCUGGAAGGUAAAGGGGAACUGUUUUAAAGCCACGUGGACUCUUCAGGACGUGAGGGUGAUCUGGCUGCAAAGUCUGUCACCCCACUGAUCGCCAGGGUUGAUUUGGCUGAUCUGGCUGGUUAGGCAGGUGUCCCCUUCCCCCCUCACCACUCCAUCUGCCUUUCUCCCAAAGCUGUGUUCUUGGUCGAAGAGGGCCUUCCCUGCUGGAGGCGAGGACUAACUGUUCUUGGGUCAAGGGUAUAACCAGUAGCUGCACUCUCCUGCUAGAAUCUCCAGACCAGCUCUCAGGGUCCAUUUGUAGAGCAUAGGGUAGUCAAGCUUCCAAGACUCCAGACACAUUCAAAUGAGGUGCUGCAUGUGGCAACCUGCCAUUCAAGAAAAGGAAAGAGGAAGGAAGGAAGGAAGGAAGGAAGGAAGGAAGGAAGGAAGGAAGGAAGGAAGGAAGGAAGGAAGGAAGGAAGGAAAAGAGUCUUCGUAUGAAUAAUACAGGCCUGAAAAUGUAAAUUCCAGUAACUUCAUUCUAUUUAAUGGUGGUAUCUAAAAUUUCAGGAAAGUGAAUAAACUUAAUUGAGAAUGUCUGAAAAUCUUGAAAAGUCCAAUAUAAAUGAAGCAGGAAAAUCAAAAUCAAAUGAUUCUGAACAAGGCCUUGAAGAUGCCAUGGAAGGUUCUGAUGAAGCUUUACAGAAAAAAAAGUCAGGCUCUCCUAGCACCCAAAGAGUGCAAAGACCUCACUCCAGUCCUCCUCGCUUUGUGACAGUAGAAGAGCUUCUAGAGACAGCAAAAGGAGUCACUAACAUGGCUCUAGCCCAUGAAAUUGUAGUCAAUGGAGACUUCCAGAUUAAACCUGUUGAAUUACCAGAAGACAGUUUGGAGAAGAAAGUGAAGGAGAUUGUACAUAAAGCUUUCUGGGAUUGCUUGAGUGUCCAGCUAAGUGAGGACCCCCCAACCUAUGACCAUGCCAUUAAACUUCUCGGGGAGAUCAAAGAGACUCUCUUAUCUUUCUUGCUGCCUGGUCACACUAGACUGAGAAACCAGAUUACGGAAGUCUUGGAUCUGGAUCUCAUAAAGCAGGAGGCAGAGAAUGGGGCCCUUGACAUUUCCAAGCUAGUUGAAUUCAUUAUUGGCAUGAUGGGGACACUGUGUGCACCUGCUCGAGAUGAGGAAGUUAAGAAGCUAAAGGACAUUAAGGAAAUAGUGCCCCUUUUCAGGGCAAUUUUUUCUGUGUUGGACCUGAUGAAAGUGGACAUGGCGAACUUUGCUGUCAGUAGCAUCAGGCCACAUCUCAUGCAGCAGUCAGUUGAAUAUGAAAGGAAGAAGUUUCAAGAGCUUUUGGAGAAGCAGCCAAAUUCCCUGGACUUUGUCACCCAGUGGUUGGGAGAAGCCGCAGAUGACCUUAUGCAUCAGACGUAUAAAAAUGCCCUGCCAGCUGUGGGAGGGGCCGCCGGAUCGGGGGGCAGUCCCACGCCUAGUCCCGUUGCUGUCCAGAAUCACGCGUACCUGAAGCUUCUGAAGUGGGACCACCUCCAGCAACCUUUCCCCGAGACAGUGCUGAUGGACCAGGCUCGCUUCCAAGAGCUCCAGCUCCAGCUGGAACACCUCACCGUCCUGGGGGCGGUGCUGCUGGUCACGUUCAGCAUGGCUGCCUCAGGUGUUUCCAACCAGGCCACCUUCGCUGAGAAACUCAAGAUGAUCGUGAAGAUCCUGCUCACAGAUAUGCAUCUGCCCUCCUUCCAUCUGAAGGAUGCCCUGACAACCAUUGGUGAGAAAGUCUGCUUGGAGGUGAGCAGCUGCCUUUCCCUGUGUGGGUUCACCCCCUUUACCACGGACAAGGAGAUCGUGCUCAAGGGCCAGAUCCAGGCGGUGGCCAGUCCUGACAACCCCAUCCGCAGGAUCAUGGUAAAAGAAUAUUUUUUUUACUUUUUUCAUAUUUAUGAAAAAAGAGGUACGUGGAUCAGUGGUUUUGAAAAAAAUAUUUUGUCCCAGUCCUGCAAUGGUCACAAUUUCACCUGUGCGUCACUCCGGAGCAGCCUCUUGAAGAUAUUGCCGUGCCCUCUGACCAUCAAGAUUAAUAUUAUUGAGAAGCAGGAAAGUGCCUGUAAAUAGAGCUGUCCUUGUCCUGCCAUCCUGGUUGUUUAGUAACAGCCAGUUAUAGACAUGGAGAUAGAAACCUGCCCUCACAAAGGAAUGACACAAGGAUCUCCACUUCUGGAUUCCCGAAUCCUGACCUUCUUAGAAACCUACCUUGCCUCAGGCCAUGAGAAGGCAUUGCCCACAAUACCUGGGGGAUUGGGUCCAGUCCACAAAGAGCUGGAGGAAGUUGCUAUUAAAUUUGUUCGUCUGGUCAACUA